UACGUAGGGUGCGAGCGUUAAUCGGAAUUACUGGGCGUAAAGCGUGCGCAGGCGGUCUUUUAAGACAGGUGUGAAAGCCCCGGGCUUAACCUGGGAAUUGCAUUGAGGACUGGCGUGCUCGAGUGCGGCAGAGGGGGGUGGAAUUCCACGUGUAGCAGUGAAAUGCGUAGAGAUGUGGAGGAACACCGAUGGCGAAGGCAGCCCCCUGGGCCGACACUGACGCUCAUGCACGAAAGCGUGGGGAGCAAACAGG
RNAcentral lists this ribosomal RNA (253 nucleotides) under uncultured bacterium. RNAcentral describes it as "partial 16S ribosomal RNA". It matches the Rfam family "Bacterial small subunit ribosomal RNA", at positions 524 to 776 of the family's 1533-position model. The record is from RNAcentral.